GGUUUACCCAUUGGUCAGGCUUAAUUGUCUGUACUGGUGAGAUGAAUCUCUACCUUCUGAGGAACUUUCAUGCCAUUUAUUUGGUGUGAUGGGAAAUCAGGACUGUUACUUUGAAAAAAUUAGAGUGUUUAAAGCAGGCUAACGUCUGAAUACAUUAGCAUGGAAUAAUGAAAUAGGACGGACUGAUUCUAUUUCGUUGGUUUCUAGGAUCACCGUAAUGAUUAAUAGGGAUAGUUGGG
RNAcentral lists this ribosomal RNA (239 nucleotides) under uncultured Glomus. RNAcentral's name for it is "partial 18S ribosomal RNA". The stretch from base 45 to 239 matches the Rfam family "Eukaryotic small subunit ribosomal RNA", at positions 691 to 886 of the family's 1831-position model. The record is from RNAcentral. RNAcentral also lists the same sequence under 1 other name. Lineage: Eukaryota; Fungi; Glomeromycota; Glomeromycetes; Glomerales; Glomeraceae.